UACAGAGGGUGCGAGCGUUGUCCGGAAUCACUGGGCGUAAAGGGCGCGUAGGUGGCGGCCCAAGUCUGUGGUGAAAGCUCGCCGCUUAACGGCGAGUCGGCCACGGAGACUGGGUGGCUCGAGCACUGUAGGGGCAGAUGGAAUUCCGGGUGUAGCGGUGGAAUGCGUAGAGAUCCGGAAGAACACCAGUGGCGAAGGCGGUCUGCUGGGCAGUUGCUGACACUGAGGCGCGACAGCGUGGGGAGCAAACAGG
RNAcentral lists this ribosomal RNA (253 nucleotides) under uncultured bacterium. RNAcentral describes it as "partial 16S ribosomal RNA". It matches the Rfam family "Bacterial small subunit ribosomal RNA", at positions 524 to 776 of the family's 1533-position model. The record is from RNAcentral.